UCUGAAGAGGAUACAGGGUCUGA
Molecule: microRNA, 23 nt
Filed under: Mus musculus (house mouse)
Lineage: Eukaryota; Metazoa; Chordata; Mammalia; Rodentia; Muridae
Description: mmu-miR-7094-1-5p
Source: miRBase by way of RNAcentral